This 492-nucleotide ribosomal RNA is filed under the name uncultured bacterium. Its description in RNAcentral is "partial 16S ribosomal RNA". It matches the Rfam family "Bacterial small subunit ribosomal RNA", at positions 29 to 507 of the family's 1533-position model. The record is from RNAcentral.
AGUGAACGCUGGCGGUAGGCCUAACACAUGCAAGUCGAACGGCAGCACAGUAAGAGCUUGCUCUUACGGGUGGCGAGUGGCGGACGGGUGAGGAAUACAUCGGAAUCUACUUUUUCGUGGGGGAUAACGUAGGGAAACUUACGCUAAUACCGCAUACGACCUACGGGUGAAAGCAGGGGAUCUUCGGACCUUGCGCGAUUGAAUGAGCCGAUGUCGGAUUAGCUAGUUGGCGGGGUAAAGGCCCACCAAGGCGACGAUCCGUAGCUGGUCUGAGAGGAUGAUCAGCCACACUGGAACUGAGACACGGUCCAGACUCCUACGGGAGGCAACAGUGGGGAAUAUUGGACAAUGGGCGCAAGCCUGAUCCAGCCAUACCGCGUGGGUGAAGAAGGCCUUCGGGUUGUAAAGCCCUUUUGUUGGGAAAGAAAAGCAGCAGGUUAAUACCCCGCUGUUCUGACGGUACCAAAAGAAUAAGCACCGGCUAACUUCGUG